AUCAAAGUGACAAGGGUGUUGUGUAUAUAAGACUGUCCAGGAUCGUUGGUCAUCAGUCGAUCGACAGACUGCUACUGAUUCUACAAGAACCAUGAAAGUCUUCAUUAUCACAGUACUUGCUCUGGUGGCUUCAGCCGAAGCAGUUAAUCACUGUCCGAUGUGUAACAAAUGGACACCGUUUUUCAACCGAGACAAGCCAACGGGUAUUGGAGAUUUUGAGCUCCUUGUUCUUCACCGACAAGAAAAUCCUGGACAGAUCUGUGCUGCACCGGAGGUUGUGCAUGCUGAACGUCUCACGGGACUUUUUCGGGACGAUGUAUCGAUUGCUGCUGAUUAUGGUUUGUCAUGUUUCAAUUUCUUGCAACCUGAUGGACAGUGUGAAGACUAUAAAGUACGAUACUGCUGCAGUUAUCUCUACCCAUCCUGUCCCACUGGAUAUCAAUGGACCAGUUAUUAUGAUAGUGACACACCUGGUGCAACUGGUGAUUACGAGACGUUGUCGGCAAUCAACAACAAUUACCCCAAUGCCCCUGUAUGUACAGAUCCAGUAGCUAUUGACGUCCGUGUUACAAGUACCGGUCUCGACUACUCCACAGCCGGCGAGGUUGUAUGUCUGGUUCCAGAACUUGGCUUUUCGUGUGUAAAUUCACAGCAACCCGAUGGACAAUGUCAGGAUUACAAAAUCCGUUUCUGCUGUCCCAAUUAAUUAUUAAGCGAACAGAAUCAUGCAUUGAUUAAGUUUGAGAAAUAAAGCCAGUUAGCUAUUA
Patella vulgata (common limpet) is the source of this 767-nucleotide long non-coding RNA. RefSeq lists it as uncharacterized. NCBI's taxonomy places the organism in Eukaryota, Metazoa, Mollusca, Gastropoda, Patellidae. The record is from RefSeq and is a predicted model, not a curated record. The transcript is spliced from 3 exons.